GUACACGCUGUGACUAGCAUAUCAAUAAGCGGAGGAAAAGAAACUAACAAGGAUUCCCUUAGUAACGGCGAGUGAAGCGGGAAGAGCUCAAAUUUGAAAUCUUCAAGGUUUUACCUUGACGAAUUGUAGUUUAAAGAAGUGUUUUCUGCUGAAGUUUUGGUAAAAGUUCUUUGGAAUAGGACAUCAUAGAGGGUGAGAAUCCCGUAUUUGACCAUUAUUUUCAGCUUCGUGAUACACUUUCAAAGAGUCGGAUUGUUUGGGAAUGCAGUCCAAAAUGGGUGGUAAAUUUCAUUCUAAAGCUAAAUAUUGGCGAGAGACCGAUAGCGAACAAGUACCGUGAGGGAAAGAUGAAAAGAACUUUGAAAAGAGAGUUAAAUAGUACGUGAAAUUGUCAAAAGGGAAGCGUUUGACACCAGUGUUGUUUUUCUGAAAAUCAACCUCUGUUAGCUUUAUGCAUGUUUGUUUAGACCUAAUCAGCUAUCUUGCAUGUUCUAUUGUUUGCAGUGGUGCACUUUUCAGUUUACAGGUCAACAUCAGUUUUUUUUACCGUAAAAAAGUUAAAGAAAGGUAGCUCAUGGCUCCGGUCGUGAGUGUUAUAGUCUUUUUCCUAUGCGGUAGGAGAGACUGAGGUCUGCAGUGUAGGCUAUUUGGCUAGAUACUCAGGUGCUAUGUGAUACCAUUUCAUAAACAACUUGUUGAUUAUGUUUUAUCUAUUGCAUACUCGCUUGUACUAUCAUACCUACGCUUAGGAUGUUGACGCAUGAGAUAUACGC
Molecule: ribosomal RNA, 773 nt
Filed under: uncultured Neocallimastigales
Lineage: Eukaryota; Fungi; Neocallimastigomycota; Neocallimastigomycetes; Neocallimastigales
Description: partial large subunit ribosomal RNA
Rfam family: Eukaryotic large subunit ribosomal RNA
Source: RNAcentral